CAGUAGCCACGGGAAUACGUAGGUGGCAAGCGUUGUCCGGAAUUAUUGGGCGUAAAGGGCUCGCAGGCGGUUUCUUGAGUCUGAUGUGAAAGCCCCCGGCUCAACCGGGGAGGGUCAUUGGAAACUGGGAAACUUGAGUGCAGAAGAGGAGAGUGGAAUUCCACGUGUAGCGGUGAAAUGCGUAGAGAUGUGGAGGAACACCAGUGGCGAAGGCGACUCUCUGGUCUGUAACUGACGCUGAGGAGCGAAAGCGUGGGGAGCGAACAGGAUUAGAUACCCCAGUAGUCCCUGUCUCUUAUAC
This 301-nucleotide ribosomal RNA is filed under the name uncultured bacterium. RNAcentral's name for it is "partial 16S ribosomal RNA". It matches the Rfam family "Bacterial small subunit ribosomal RNA", at positions 509 to 807 of the family's 1533-position model. The record is from RNAcentral.